Molecule: long non-coding RNA, 377 nt
Organism: Photinus pyralis (common eastern firefly)
Lineage: Eukaryota; Metazoa; Arthropoda; Insecta; Coleoptera; Lampyridae
Exons: 2
Source: RefSeq, a predicted model, not a curated record
AAACUCUGACAACUUGGGACACCCUGGCAACUUGGGACAAACAUGCGCAUUUGCGGAAGUGGAGUACUCCUCACCUUGGUUUUUAGAUCAGCUGUUUCACUGGCAACUGAUUUUACGUUACAACGUAUCAGCUUUUGCAAACCGCGUUAUUUACGUUUAUACUUCGGGUGGUUUAUUGUUAAUUACCUGUUUUUGAUUCUAAUUUAAAUAGCUAAAAAAAAUACGUCAUUACAACUUUGGUUAUAUUUAGAUAACGAUUUGUGGUAUUUGUUGUUUGGGCUUUAGCCACUAUGCCUGGCUCUCAUAAUACAAAAAGGAGAAAGGUAGGAGCAAGGACUUACCGCAACUUUUCCAAUGAACAGUUGGAAAAAGCCAUA